RNAcentral lists this ribosomal RNA (408 nucleotides) under uncultured bacterium. RNAcentral's name for it is "partial 16S ribosomal RNA". It matches the Rfam family "Bacterial small subunit ribosomal RNA", at positions 28 to 526 of the family's 1533-position model. The record is from RNAcentral.
GACGAACGCUGGCGGCGUGCUUAACACAUGCAAGUCGAACGAAGUGGCGAACGGGUGAGUAAUACGUGGGUAACCUGCCCUCCUUUUUGGGAUAAGCCUUGGAAACGGGGUCUAAUACCGAAUACAGGGGGAUGGGCUCGGGGCCGAUCGGCUUGGUGGUGGGGUGAUGGCCUACCAAGGCGGUGAUGGGUAGCCGUCCUGUGAGGGUGACCGGCCACAGUGGGGAUGGGAUACGGCACAGACUCCUACGGGAGGCAGCAGUGGGGGAUAGUGCACAGUGGACGAAAGCCUGAUGCCGCGACGCGGCGUGGGGGAUGAAGGCUUGCGGGUUGUAAACCUCUUUCGCUAUCGAAAGGGUAGGUGGAGAAGAAGCGCCGGCUAACUACGUGCCAGCAGCCGCGGUAAUAC